RNAcentral lists this ribosomal RNA (180 nucleotides) under BTEX-degrading bacterium enrichment culture. Its description in RNAcentral is "partial 16S ribosomal RNA". It matches the Rfam family "Bacterial small subunit ribosomal RNA", at positions 347 to 519 of the family's 1533-position model. The record is from RNAcentral.
GGCAGCAGUGGGGAAUAUUGGACAAUGGGCGAAAGCCUGAUCCAGCCAUGCCGCGUGUGUGAAGAAGGUCUUCGGAUUGUAAAGCACUUUAAGUUGGGAGGAAGGGCAUUAAUCUAAUACGUUAGUGUUUUGACGUUACCGACAGAAUAAGCACCGGCUAACUCUGUGCCAGCAGCCGCG